UUUAUUAUGUCAUUUAUUAGUCUCUCAAACCUAUCUAACCUCUCUGCUCUCUCUCUAGGUCUCUAACCUUUUUCUCUUGCAGUUGUCUGACACUUAAAGCUCGACAACAACGACGGGGGUCGACGGCGCGAGGGCUUGACAAUCUGUCUCGCUGCUUUCGUCCUUGCAAGUCCAAUGGUGUGCGGGGUCAAGGUUGGGUGAACGGUAGUGCACGAUGUCGGGAUGGUGUUCAUCCAACCCCUCGUUUGCGACAGUGGUACUGGAAUGGUAAAGGUUUGCAUUUCAAAAUUCGGCAUCGUCUGCGGUCACACGAGUUCAGAGGUUGGGAAAUCGAUUGCUUGGGUUCAGAGAUUGGGUUAAGAGAUUGAGUUCAGAGAUUGGGAAUGGUGAAGGGCAAUAAGAAAGAAUGUGAAAAGCAAGAGGUUAAUUAAAGAUUGAUGAAGAUGGAAACUAGUACACGAUGUUUGUGUUGCUGUACGGAUUCUUAACAUUGAAUUUGCAUGUCUUUGAGCAAGCUAUAAUGCAGUGACGAUUAAAGAGGUAUGGCUGGAUUUUAUUUUGAUUUGUGGAUUGUCAUUAUAUUUAGAAAAGCUUUUUUUAUGUGCAUAUGGGUUACACAUACUUCUAUUACAACUAUUAUUUCAUUUGUACUAGUUGAAGCCACGGUUUAAAUGUUCUAAUAUGUAUGUCUUUAUCCAUUAAGUUCAAUUUUGUAUCUUUUUGUUAUAGUUUGUGUUUAUGAGAUGAACAUAGGCAUUUGUGCUCUCUAAAUUGCAUUCAUUUUGAGGACUAUAAAAGGUGCAGUUGGUUCUGAUGUUCUUUAUUCAAUUAUGUAAUUAUAAAUAUUAUCUUUUGGGUGACUUGCUAAUGCUUUUAAAUGUGUCAUCUUACGAGUCAGCUUUUCUCUUGUUUUUCUACAUAAUAGAUAUGGUUAACUGAUGUUCUUUAUUUUUUUUCUGUGGUUAUUUGAAUCUAUUAAAUGAAUUGUGCCAAAUUCUGCUCUAGCUUGUUAUGUGCCAGACUAUGUUUUGGCUUGUACAAUGAAUUGUGCCAGGAUAUGUUUUGGUUUGUAUGAUGAAUUGUGCCAAAUUCUACUUUGACUUGUUAUGUUUUGUUAUUAGCUUAUAUUGGUUAUGUUUAUUGUCAUUGAUUGGUUAAAAAGAAAUCCAAUAUAGCAUAUGUUAGUGUUGUACUUUGGAGUUGAGCUCCAUUAUUAAUGUAAUAUAUAUGUUUGCUGAAUCAGGUUUCUAAUUAAUUUAGUUGAUAAUUAAGCUAUGUUAAUAUGUUUUUUAUAGUUAAAAUUUGUUUAUCUGUAUGAUGAUAAAAAUGUGAUGGAUGACGUAGAGAGAUAAUAGAUAAUGUGUGAAACUUGAUGUAUUACUUGUACUCUUUUGAAUCUUUUCUUGUUCUAUACAUUUUCUCUGUUAUUGUUUUGUUUUUAGCAGAUACAAAUGGUAAAAAAAAAAGGGAAAAAAAAAGUCAUUUUUUGUGUACAUUUCGUUAGUAACUUAUACAUAUAAAUUUGUAAGCAUGUUUAUGAAUAAUCUGUAAAAUUAAUUGACUUCUUGAGUUUAGUUGUACUAACACAUCUUUUGAAUUUAUGAGAAUUUUUUUUUAAAUAUCCAAAUUCCAAACUAAUCCUCCUUUUUUGCACCAAAAAUUUACUAUAAACUAGUAAUUAUUUCUUUUAAUUUUCCCCCGAACACCAUGACUUAAGUGAUUAAGAGUUUGGGGUUUUGUAUCUGGUGAUCACUAGAAAUUUUAGAAUAUAGCUAGGCAAGUAGGUUUUUUGUCUGGUUAGUGGUUAUGACAACAUAAAAGUUGAUAUUCUAUUUAUUUGUUGCUGUAAAGUCUUUAAUUAAUUUUUGAAGAAAAAAAUUCUAAAAUACAUCUAUCGUGACUAACUUAUAAGUCACAUGGAGACUAUGGUAUCUUGUAUUUGGAUUAUUAAAAUAGAGACUAAAUAAGAUAUCCUUAAUACAUCUAUCAUGACUA
Molecule: long non-coding RNA, 1995 nt
Organism: Humulus lupulus (European hop)
Lineage: Eukaryota; Viridiplantae; Streptophyta; Magnoliopsida; Rosales; Cannabaceae
Exons: 2
Source: RefSeq, a predicted model, not a curated record